Molecule: long non-coding RNA, 974 nt
Organism: Daphnia pulex (common water flea)
Lineage: Eukaryota; Metazoa; Arthropoda; Branchiopoda; Diplostraca; Daphniidae
Exons: 6
Source: RefSeq, a predicted model, not a curated record
GAAAAAGACAGAUUUUGCUUCAAACAGGAAUAGAUAUACCACAGGCCAGGCCCACUGAAGAAGUUAAAAAAAUAACAAUAACAUCUCACAUCCAGAAUUGUCAAUCAACUACUUCUGCACCAAGUUUCCUAGUAAGAUAAUUCUCUUUUUGGUGAAGUCCUAAUUCAAAAUUACACAUAACAGUGAACAUGGAAAUGAAAGAAAAUGAAAGGACUUCAAUCUGCCUAACCAAUUUCAUUACAUGGCCAGUAUCUAGAGUGAGGAUCAAAUGAGCCAGGAACAUGCUGUUGUUGCGAGACAAGAUAGUGUGGAAAGCAAUCCACUGUCCAAGUGCUGUUGCCCGGGUGCUAAAACGUCUGGAAUCACUAACAGAUGCCAUAGACAAGGCACAUAAACGAAUGUCAAGAGUCCUUCUCCUCACUGUAGAAGUUGGACUGACGUCCAUUAACGAUUUCGUCUGUUGCGGUCUCGGUCUGUUGUUUUGUGUGGUGCUGCGGUGGUGGCUUUUUUUGGUGAAGACUAAAGACGAGAUAUAAAUUUGGAGGGGAGACUAUUACGAAAAAAUGUGAAAGGUGCAUGAAGCCAGUACUGUCAACUAUUGUGUUGGUAUCCUACAGAAUAUGUCAUCCAAAUGACAGAGAGUGGAUUCAUCACUAUUAUCGGCUGAAUCAUUCUAUGAGACUUGCCAGAUUGCAACCCAAGCAUGGACCAAUUUCUUAUUCCAUCUUCUAGAGAACCUUACAUAACCGAUUGGUGGUUUAGUGUGUUUUAGGUUUCUAAUGUAGCAUGAUAGACUUUAUGAGAAGUCAUGUUGUUUGAAGAAAAAGGACUAUACAGUCGACAAGGUUCUUUGGUAACCCGUUGGCUGCUACCCUUGAAUCUCCCUGUUUACUUCCUUACACGGGUCCACUUGAUUUGAGGGUAAUCCUUCGCUACUGAUCACACCCACGCUGGUGAAAACCGACGAGAGAAUG